This 496-nucleotide ribosomal RNA is filed under the name uncultured bacterium. RNAcentral describes it as "partial 16S ribosomal RNA". It matches the Rfam family "Bacterial small subunit ribosomal RNA", at positions 29 to 507 of the family's 1533-position model. The record is from RNAcentral.
AUGAACGCUGGCGGCGUGCCUAAUACAUGCAAGUCGAGCGAACGGACGAGAAGCUUGCUUCUCUGAUGUUAGCGGCGGACGGGUGAGUAACACGUGGAUAACCUACCUAUAAGACUGGGAUAACUUCGGGAAACCGGAGCUAAUACCGGAUGAUAUUUUGAACCGCAUGGUUCAAAAGUGAAAGACGGUCUUGCUGUCACUUAUAGAUGGAUCCGCGCUGCAUUAGCUAGUUGGUAAGGUAACGGCUUACCAAGGCAACGAUGCAUAGCCGACCUGAGAGGGUGAUCGGCCACACUGGAACUGAGACACGGUCCAGACUCCUACGGGAGGCAGCAGUAGGGAAUCUUCCGCAAUGGGCGAAAGCCUGACGGAGCAACGCCGCGUGAGUGAUGAAGGUCUUCGGAUCGUAAAACUCUGUUAUUAGGGAAGAACACAUGUGUAAGUAACUGUGCACAUCUUGACGGUACCUAAUCAGAAAGCCACGGCUAACUACGUG